ACGCCGCGUGAGUGAAGAAGGUCUUCGGAUUGUUAAGCUCUGUUCGUUUGGGACAAACGUGGGAUGUGUGAAUAAUGCAUUCUAAUGACGGUACCAAAGGAGGAAGCCACGGCUAACUACGUGCCAGCAGCCGCGGUAAUA
This 141-nucleotide ribosomal RNA is filed under the name uncultured bacterium. RNAcentral describes it as "partial 16S ribosomal RNA". It matches the Rfam family "Bacterial small subunit ribosomal RNA", at positions 394 to 525 of the family's 1533-position model. The record is from RNAcentral.